Long non-coding RNA from Saccostrea cuccullata (small rock oyster), 2865 nucleotides. RefSeq lists it as uncharacterized. The record is from RefSeq and is a predicted model, not a curated record. The transcript is spliced from 3 exons. NCBI's taxonomy places the organism in Eukaryota, Metazoa, Mollusca, Bivalvia, Ostreida, Ostreidae.
UACAUGUAUGUGAGAAACCUUUCAGGAACAAGUUGUCUACUAUAGCCAGCCAAGCCUUUACUGCAUACAUGUGCACAUUUUUUUUGAUGACUCUAAAAGAUAUAGUUUUGAUUCGGUGUUUCUUUGUUUUCUUUUUAUUCAAAUAAUUUUAAAAUGUGAUGAUGUACACAACAAUAAUUAGUACCUAGUUUAGAGGAUUUUUUCGCGCUUGUUUGUAAACAACGCGCGGCAUUGUGGGAAAUAGGAAGGUACUAAAGACGCGAUGUACUAAACACUGAUCUGACCUGAUUCAAAUUUGUCUGUAACUGUUCCAAACAAUUGAAUUUUUGUAUAGCAUAUGCCUCAAAGUCAUAAAGUCUGUACAUAAGUAAUUUAAAAUACUCAAUAUUACCAUUUAAUUAAAAAUUAAGACGUCAGGUAAAUAUCAGGUCUCUAGUAUAUCCCGUUUUUAGUGUGCCCCUUCGAGUCGACGUCGGACACUUACAAACUGAAAAUAGAAUGAUUUGUGAAGUUGAACAUUUUCUCACAAAGAAUCCGUUUGUAGACAUGUACACUCAUUUAAUCUGGAGCUACGAAGUACUUUUUCACUUCCCUGGAACAUUAUUCUAAGCAGAAUUAUCCCGAUUCAUAUAUUCUAAGAAUCUUGUGUGAAUUGUUUACGAGGAAAUUCUGACUGUCACAUUAACAAGGAUGAACACUCUUGACUCUGCUUCGGAUUCGGAUCAUCAUAUCAUUCCCCAGUGAUAAUUGUAUCGAGUGGUGAAAGAGCUGACGGCGACAUUUUAAUGUAUGAUUGGCUUGGACCAUUUGAAUGAAGUCAUAUCAUGGUGCCACCACUUGGGAUGGUAUGCAAAUAUAGACUUGUACUCAGCACUUAUUGCCUUUAAGAAGUAUGAGAUCCAUUUUGUGCUAACACCUACCGUGACGCAGAAUCUUGGUUUAUGCAGUCUCAUAGGAGUAACCUGUCUAAAGCAUUUAGCAAUGGGAUUGGAACCUGCGAUGUGUGACUCAUCUGAAUACUGAAUUUUGAUACCAAGCAUGACCAUGAUUUGCCAGAAGAUCAUCUGUUUGGAUGUGACAUGGAAUAAACAGCAUAGUGAAAAUAAGUCAAGUUUUGGUUUGUGAAGACAAUUUUUAAACACACUGUGUAUCAUUUUUAAAUUUUGAUUUGACAACAUAAAUCCACAAAUAUGAACAUAUCAAUUGCUCUCAGUUUUUCAAGUGAAAUAGUUUUUGUAACAGAAAUACAUGUACCAGUAAUUAAAUUGGAAUAAAUGUUAUUUUUAAAUAUAAUAAUAUUUUGUUUGUGUAGCAUGUUGACCUCUUUAUUAAGGUCUUCCCUUUCAAAGUUUAGACUUACUUAUUCUAAUGAUUAAGAAAGAUCCUCUGUCUUCAGCAGGAAUAUAAGAUCUUGUAAUACAUGUAUGUGUAAUUUUUACAGUAUAAUGUAAAAAAAAAAUUUUUAUUUUGGCACAUACAACUAAUUAAAGGCAUAAACAUGUGUAUGAUUCCAAGGAAUUCAGUACAUAGGGCAUGCACAUGUAGUUUUCUAAAACAAGAUUGAAGAGAUGUCCAGUCGCAUUUCAAUGUCAACUCCAAAACUGUGCCUGUUGCAUACUUAUUAGCCCAUCUGAGCUAAAGGAACCAGUAAAUUUUUUAAAAACAUAAUUUUAUCCAUUAUCAUCAUUGUCUAAAAUUUCACAAUAUCAUUUUCCAGAACCAAAGUGAAACUUGGCACAGAGCAUCCUUAGUGUAGGGGAUUCAAAUUGUUCUUAUGCAGGGCAAUACCUUCAAAGAGAUUUGUUUCUUUAAUGCUGUAAAUGUAUUAUAUUUAGCUUGUACAAUAUUUGGUGGAAAUUGACUUUUGAAUAAGUUAGCGUAGAUAUUCUUAUUUAUGUUUAUGUACAAGACUUUUAGCUUUGUACUUGAUUUAGUGAUUGCUGCAUUCCGCCAAAGCCGCUAAAAAAGAAUACACAGCCAUAUGUAAUAUGUUCACAAUAUACCUUUCAGAGAAUUUUACACUCCUAUUGAGGUACCACCAGUUGCUAGUGGAAAGCUUCAAAUUCGAAACAUACACAACACAUUUCUGUGCGUUUAUUAUAAAAGUAUUGUUCUACUUACUGAUUGCAACUAAUGAAGAUUGUUCAUCAUUAUUGUAAAUACAUUUGGAUUUUUUGAAUUAUUAUAUAAUUUGUUUAUUUUAUUUACCUAGUUAUACUGUAUAUUAAAUGAUUUUAAAGCCAUUUUUAAGAUGGUAAUGUAGCAAAACACUUAUGUUUCUGUACUAUGACACGUUUCACAAACAUAAUUGCAACAAACAUGAUAUAUCCGAUAUCAAAAGUCAUAAUAUUGGAAGUUAAACUGUUGUGGAUACGAUUUCAAGAAUGCUGUUAGAGAGAGUACCCUUUAGACCUCAUGCUCACACCAAAUUAAAGAAUUCAAGUAAGGGUUUUUGAGACAAAUCGAAAAAGAGAAUGUUAGAAUAAUAAGACUAGAGCAAAGCUCGUUGCAAAGCAACGAGUGGGUCUUCCUUCCUAGCGAUAAGCAAAAGAUGAAAUGUUUCUGUCUAGAUUGUCAACUAGAUUGUUGACAAUCUAGACAGAAACAUUUAAUCUUUUGCUUAUCGCUAGGAAGGAAGACCCACUCGUUGCUUUGCAACGAGCUUUGCUCUAGUUAUUAUUAUUAUUUUUUUUUUUUUUUUUGACAAAAUUUUGUGCAGGCGAUUUCUCGAAAACUAUUCAGUGGUUUUUCAUGAAACUUUCACAAAAUAUGCGUCAUUAUAUGAAGUUGUUACAUCCGAAGAGUAAUUUGGAAAAUUCGCUUCUGGUGCCAAGUUAUGGACAAUUUCCUGAUUUUAAAAUGCGA